GUGAUCCAUAGGCUGGGUGGGUCCAGGAAUCCAGAAGAACCAGAAAUGUGAAGUUCCAGGAAACGGAACAUUUAAGGGUUGUUAUUUUUAUUCAGGUAGGGAGCCAGCAGUGGUGGACCUUGAGGCCUCAAAUUUCAGCGCAGUACCAAAAUUUGGCACCCCCUGAAUCCCAGAGCCAUUCUAAAUACAGUUGUACCUUGGAAGUCGAACGGAAUCCGUUCCAGAAGUCCGUUUGGCUUCCAAAACCAAAUCGCAGCUUCUGAUUGGCUGCAGGAAGCUCCUGCAGCCAAUCAGAAGUUGUGGAAGCCGUGCUGGACGUUCAGGUUCCCAAAGAACAUUUGCAAACCGGAACAAUCACUUCCAGGUUUGCGGCGUUCAGGAGCCAAAACGUCCGAGUUCCUGGGCGUUCAGGAUCCAAGGUAUGACUGUAAUAGUUGUGGUGCUUCCUAGUGGCACCCCCAAGUUCUGCACCCAGUGCGACUGAACCAGUUGUGCCCCCCAAAAUCCGCCUCUGGAGCCAGUAUGAGCUCUCUUAAGUAAAUACCAUUCCUCCCCAGUCCAGUACAGAAAAUCAGGUCCUGACACUUGUGUUGGGCCCAGCAUUAUUGGUUGUUGUGGUGGCCAUCAAAUCCUAAGCCACUCUAGACAAGGUGACUUCAGAGUGGUUUCCCCAACACCAAGUUCAUGAUCUCUGACACCACCUUUGUGUCCGCCUCCAUCAGCCCAAGUCUGGAGAUUGUUAUGUUAGUCCCUUACCUUUCUCGCCCUUAUCUGGCAACAGUGAUCCAUGCGGUGGUCACCUCCAGGCUUAAUUAUUGUAAUUCGCUCUAAGCAGGACUGCCCUUAAAGCUGACCCAGAAACUCCAGUGGGUGCAGAAUGCCACGUCGAGGCUCCUUACGGGUUCCUUGCCACGGGAUCACAUUCAUCCAGUGCUUUACCAACUGCACUGGCUCCCGGUGGAGUACAGGGUCAGGUUUAAGGUGCUGGUUUUGACCAUUAAAGCCCUAUGCGGCCUAGGACCCGUGUACCUACGGGACCGCCUCUCCUGGUAUGCCCCGCGGAGGACCUUAAUCUCCACAAAUGACAACAUUUUGGAGGUCCCAGGUCGCAAGGUGGUUAGAUUGGUCUCAAGUAGGGCCAGGGCCUUUUCAGUACUGACCCCGACUUGGUGGAACGCUCUGUCACAAGAGACCAGGGCCCUGCGGGACUUGACAUCUUUCCGCAGGGCCUGCAAGACAGAGCUGUUCCACCUGGCCUUUGGUUUGGACUCAGUCUGACCCUUAUGUUUCCCUCCCCUUAUGGUCUUGAUUUAUCGGCUACUUUUAAAAUGAGGCUGCAUUUUAAAUUGCAUUUUAACCUGUAUUUUAAACCCCCCCCCAUUAUGUUUUUUACUGUGAUUUUAUUGGUGUUAGCCGCCCUGAGUCCAGCUCUGGCUGGGGAGGGCGGGGUAUAAAUAAAAUUUAUUAUUAUUAUUAGUAGUAGUAGUAGUGGGGAAUCCCAACCCUGUAUUGGGAUUCCAACAGCAGUUCAAAACUGGCAGACUACUGGGCAGGGAACUCAGAAGCAGUGAUGGAAGAAAGCAGCAAGAUUCUGAACAGGAAGUUGCUGGCCCAGACCCUCCUCUCUAGGAUUUGCCUGGGACUCCAGAGAGUCACUGCUGCCAGUGACAAUACUGGGCUAGAUGGAUGAAUAUUCUGACCUAGUAUUAUGUAGUUUCCUUUGUAGAUAGCACAGCCUCUUUUUUAUUUUUUUGUCACAUGGAACUCAAUGGAAGCCAUGCCAGCCUCUCUCUGCAUAGCUCCACCCCUUCAUUUGCAUAACCUAGCCUCUGCUCUUUGGUGUAAAGAUGGAAUUCUGGCAACUGGCUCGUCUAUGCAUAUAUAUUUAAUCUAAGGAAUCCUUCGUUUUAUUGGUUACACAGAGGUUGUCGUACACGUGUCCCAAGCCCUUGGGAAAACGGUAGUGGCUAUGGAACAGGAUUAGAGAACUGCAAGUAGAUUUGGAAUACAGAAUAAAUGAACUGCCGGUGGACGUCUUGUGAAUUUGAUUGGAGUCAAAGUGAAGUUUUAGACUAGGAACUGGAUACCUCGGAAUGCUUGGCAGUCAUGUAUGCAUGUGUCAACUUGCAAGGCUGGGCCAUGUGCAUCUUGACAGAACUGCAAUUUCAUUAUAUUUGUUGUUGCUGAGUUUGUUUAAGCAGGAACUUCAGUAUGAUAAGUGAUUUGGGGGGGGGCAGAGAGGGAGCGAACUAAUCUGGAUCGUUCCCAACUUGGCAAGGCAAAGAGACCUUUGAGCCCAGCAAUUUGUCUUAAGUUUCAGGUUCUGGGAAUUACAAAAUAUUUCAGGAUCACCUAGAGCAGAGCAGGAUGAAAUUUGUUUGGGAGUGGCAGAAUUGCUUGGGCUGGGGGUGGAGACGAUAUCGAUGGAGAUGAACAAGGAAGCCCUUUAGAAGUAUUAUAUCUUCUGUUGUGAGCACACACUUGAAAAAAGGUUAGCAAUGAAGCAUCAACAUACUGCAAGAAGCAGAGACCAUUUAACAAUGCAGGAAAGUAUGAACAUGACAUCCCACAGAAACAGGAGAUUUACCGGCACAACCCUGUGCUUGCCUACUCAGAAGUAAUUCCCACUGAGGCUGCGUACGUGCCAUACAUUCAAAACACAUUUAAAGCACAUUUCUUCCCCUGAAUAAUCCAGAGAGCUGUAGUUUAUCCCCUGACAGAGCUACAUUUCCCAGCAAACUUAACAAACCAGUUCCCAGGAUUCUUUGGGAAAAGUGAUGUGCCGUAAAUGUGCUUCAAAUGUACAGUGUACACACAGCCUAAGUUCAGUAGGACUUAUAAUCAUAGAAGUGUAUAGUUGGAAGGGACCACAAGGGUGAUCUGGUUCAACCCCCUAAAAUGCAGAAAUCUCAGCUAAAGACUUGUUGUUGUUGUUGUUGUUGUUUAGUCGUCUAGUCGUGCCCGACGCUUCGUGACCCCAUGAACCAGAGCACGCCAGGCACUCCUGUCUUCCACUGCCUCCCCCAGUUUGGUCAAACUCAUGUUCGUAGCUUCGAGAACACUGUCCAACCAUACCGUCCUCUGUCGUCCCCUUCUCCUUGUGCCCUCCAUCUUUCCCAACAUCAGGGUCUUUUCCAGGGUGUCUUCUCUUCUCAUGAGGUGGCCAAAGUAUUGGAGACUCAGCUUCAGGAUCUGUCCUUCCAGUGAGCACUCAGGGCUGAUUUCCUUAAGAAUGGACAGGUUUGAUCUUCUUGCAGUCCAUGGGACUCUCAAGAGUCUCCUCCAGCACCAUAAUUCAAAAGCAUCAAUUCUUUGGCGAUCAGGCUUCUUUAUGGUCCAGCUCUCACUUCCAUAAAUCACUACUGGGAAAACCAUAGCUUUAACUAUACAGACCUUUGUCGGCAAGGUGAUACUCCCAGUUAAAUGCGUAGAAGGACUUUAGCCUUCAUAUAAGAACUGAGCCUUUCUGCACGUGUGAAAGAGCAUCUCACACAAUGUAUUGUAAUCCUCCUUCCCUCUUCAAGGAGAAUGUCACUAAAAACAUUUCAGACCUGCGUUAAAAGAUUAUUUAAUUGCAUUAGAAGCAGGAGCCAGGCUAGAAAGGAGGUUGGAUGUUGGGGUGAGAAGGGAGUCAAAGAUAUUUUGAAGAAGGAAAGGAGCUGAAUGGUUGCUGUUGUUUUUUGUCUACAUAGUGGAAGAUAUAUACAGUAGUACCUCGGGUUACAGAUGCUUCAGGUUACAGACUCCGCUAACCCAGAAAUAGUACCUCGGGAUAAGAACUUUGCUUCAGGAUGAGAACAGAAAUCGUGCUCUGGCGGCAUGGCAGCAGUGGGAGGCCCCAUUAGCUAAAGUGGUGCUUCAGGUUAAGAACAGUUUCAGGUUAAGAACAGACCUCUGGAACGAAUUUAGUUCUUAACUCGAGGUACCACUGUACCACAGAUCUCUGUGUCUGAACUAACCUUCUCAGGCAGGGUGUUUGAGGAAUGGAGGCAAGUAGUCUUGAAGACAAGAGAUCAAGUUCUAUGGCUUAUUGACAGUGGUACCUUGGGUUAAGAACUUAAUUCGUUUUGGAGGUCUGUUCUUAGCCUGAAACUGUUCUUAACCUGAGGCACCACUUUAGCUAAUGGGGCCUCCUGCUGCCGACACACGAUUUCUGUUCUCAUCCUGAAGUAAAGUUCUUAACCCGAGGUACUAUUUCUGGGUUAGCGGAGUCUGUAACCUGAAGUGUCUGUAACCUGAAGUGUCUGUAACCUGAAGAGUCUGUAACAUGAGGUACCACUGUAUUUAAAACAAACACAUUGUUGGGUCUAGAGGUCACCUAACUAAUCGUUCUUUAAAGAAUGCAAAUGUGAAAUUGCUGGUUUUCUAACAAUAAGUGGCAACUUGUACCUAAGGCUGGGUGUCACACCUGAGGACUGAAAAAUCCCAGUUUUAAAAAUGGGACUCAGUUGCUGGUCUAGUCAGCUUUCAAUGAAGGAUACUAUCUUGCAUUUUGUUUCAGGGAACAAAAUGGCUUGGGCCAGUCUUGCAAGGCUUGAGUUUGAUUCAUAUCAUUCAUCUCUCUUUCUCUCUCUUUCAAAUUAGAUUAAGCUGGCCAAUGUCAUAAAUGUUUCUUCUAGAAUAAAACGCCUCUGAGCAAAUGGGCAAUCUCUCUUUGCUUUUGGGUGGCUCUCCUUGCAACAUAUUUUCCCCAUUAACUUAGUAGUAAAGUCAAUUGGCAGCGAUGAAUCUUCUUCAUUAAUUUCUUUGUUGGCAAACUUUAUCUCUCUUUCGUAAUUAGUGACUGGGUGGAAUUUGCUGGAAGGAGUGAGGAUGAUGGUCUCUUGUGGUUUGAAAUCUGGAACUGAUGUGAAUGACGCUAAAAGUUAAUUUUGUCAUCAUUAAUGAUGAAUAAGAUUUUCCUUAUGUUUUCACUUCAAGAAAAAGGAAAAGAAAUAAUGGAAAGUUAAGUCCGAUUUGUUUGUCCUGUAUUUUUAUGGUUGGGGAUGGGGAGAUAAACUUGGGAAUUAGGGCCAUAUGUUUUAGCUAUAGAUUAAUCAACCAAGCUUAAGUUGAUUUACUGAUGGGAACUUCCCCCUUCCUCCAUGUUAACAGGACCAGGUUCUAACAUAGUGUUGUUGUUUAGUCAUUUAGUCAUGUCCGACUCUUUGUGACCCCAUGGACCAGAGCACGCCAGGCACUCCUGUCUUCCACGGCCUCCCCCAGUUUGGUCAAACUCAUGCUGUUAGCUUGGAGAACACUGUCCAACCAUCUCGUCCUCUGUCGUCCCCUUCUCCUUGUGCCCUCCAUUUUUCCCAGCAUCAGGGUCUUUCCCAGAGAGUCUUCUCUUCUCAUGAGGUGGCCAAAGUAUUGGAGACUCAGCUUCAGGAUCUGUCCUUCCAGUGAGCACUCAGGGCUGGUUUCCUUCAGAAUGGAUAGGUUUGAUCUUCUUGCAGUCCAUGGGACUCUCAAGAUUCUCCUCCAGCACCAUAAUUCAAAAGCAUCAAUUCUUUGGUGAUCAGCCUUCUUUAUGGUCCAGCUCUCACUUCCAUACAUCACUACUGGGAAAACCAUGGCUUUAACUAUAUGGACCUUUGUUGGCAAUGUGAUGUCUCUGCUUUUUAAGAUGCUGUCUAGGUUUGCCAUCGCCUUUCUCCCAAGAAGCAGGCAUCUUUUAAUUUUGUGGCUGCUGUCACCAUCUGCAGUGAUCAUGGAGCCCAAGAAAGUAAAAUCUCUCACUGCCUCCAUUUCUUCCCCUUCUAUUUGCCAGGAGGUGAUGGGACCAGUGUCCAUGAUUGGCAAGGCAGUGAUCCAUGAAGGGGAACAUAGUGUAGUCCCCCCUAAAUACAGGACUUACUGCAGAAUCCUAUGGAUAAACAAUAAGAGGGGCCAAGGCACUAUUGAUCUGGUCUGGGGCCUGAGCUGGAUCGCUCAAUGCCCCAAAGAGGAUUGAGGGCCUUGCACAACCCUAAAGUUGUGCAUCAAAGUUGGGGAGAGGAAGAGCCAAUGUAGGCAGAGUAUUGCUUGCACCGCCUCCUUCUCCCAAACUCCCUGCCAUCCUUAACACCCCCCUACAAGUUUAAUAACACCCCCCACCUUUCCACUGUGUUACAGGCCACUCCAAUCUCUGCCAAGUGGUAGCAAGGUUCCAGGGGUCUUGGCACUUAACCAGGGCUUGUCUCCCUUUAGAGUGAGGCAUGACAGAGACUGUAGUGUCUUUAUGAUAUAUGGUUUUAUUUAUACAUAUAUACAACUUAGCCUUGAUGGAGCAUCACGCUCCAAGGGUCCCUCUUGUUGCUCUCCUCAUAACUUCAGCAAGCUUGGGUCCAGCCAUUCUUCCUGGUCUUUGCAUGCAGGUUCCUCUAGCCCAGGCACAGGCAAAUUCGAUCCUCCAGAUGUUUUGAGACUACAAUUCCCAUCAUGCCUGACCACUGGUCCUGUUAGCUAGGGAUGAUGGGAGUUGUAGUCCCCAAAACAUUUGGAGGGCCGAGUUUGCCUAUGCCUGCUCUAGCCAUCAUCACAUGGUGUUCCGACCUCUCCCCUUUUCUUCUGCAAGCCCCUUGCUCCAAGCCCCGUGUAAAAAGGGGCAGCUUUUUUCCUGUGGUGACACCUCCCCAGACCACACCCACUCCCGAGUCACAUGCCCUUUCCCCAUGCCACGCCUCUUACCAGCCUUGUGUCACACCCUCCUUCUGGUUGGUUGAUUUUUUGGAAGUGUAUUUAUUUAUUUCUCACAUCUAUACUCCACCUAUUCCUCCGAGGAGUUCAAGGUGGGGUUAAAGGAUUUUCCCUCUCCUCAUUUAAUCCAAACAGCAACCCUGUAAGGCUGAGAGGCAUUGACUGGGGCCAAGGUGAGUCUCAUGGCUAAGUGGGGAUUUGAAUCCUGAUCUCCCAGGUCCUAGUCUGACACUCUCAACCAGUGUUUUUCAAACUUGGGUCUCCAGCUGCUGUUGGACUACAACUCCCAUCAUCCUUAGCUAGCAGGACCAGUGGCCAAGGGAUAAUGGGAGUUGUAGUCCAACAGCAGCCGGGGACCCAGGUCUGAGGAGUGUUCUUCAAACUUGGGUCUCCAGCUAUGGUUGGACUACAACUCCCAUCAUCCCUAGCUAGCAGGACCAGUGGCCAGGGGAUGAUGGGAGUUGUAGUCCAACAGCAGCCGGGGACCCAAGUUUGAGGAGUGUUCUUCAAACUUGGGUCUCCAGCUAUGGUUGGACUACAACUCCCAUCAUCCCUAGCUAGCAGGACCAGUGGCCAGGAGAUGAUGGGAGUUGUAGUCCAACAGCAGCUGGGGACCCAAGUUUGAGGAGUGUUCUUCAAACUUGGUUCUCCACUUAUGGUUGGACUACAACUCCCAUCAUCCCUAGCUAGCAGGACCAGUGGCCAGGGGAUGAUGGGAGUUGUAGUCCAACAGCAGCCGGGGACCCAAGUUUGAGGAGCACUGCUCUGAAUAUCACACCAGUCUCUGAACUGUGAUAGUACCUGUUGCUCGCUUGGCCAAAGGACAGAGAGGGUUCGUGUAUGAGUGUAGAAACCCGCCCAUUUGUUCAAAGGUAACAUGACCUUUCACUGUUUUGCCCCAGACCCCUUCCAUUGCGAGCAUGAGGAUCCUGGAUGCUUUCCCAGGAAGGAAUGCAGCCUGCGGAGCUCAGGACUAUUGAUCUGAAGGCAAUCUCAGGCUGAGGACCAGGGAUUUUUUUGUCUCCAGCCAUAUGAGAAGCAUUACGCGGUGCAAAGGCCCUUGAGUGACAGCUCCCUCGGAGCGGCCUGUGUGAGUCAGCCCUGAGCUAUGCGUUUCUGAGUAGGUCAACUCUGGUUUAGGCAAUAAGUUGCAGCUCCCGGAAGGAUUGGAUUAGAGGGGUUUAAAGACAGGGCUGCGGAUCUGCUCAAACCCAAGGCCAAAUGGGACAGAGCUUCAACACAACAGGGGAGGUCUCCGGCCUUAAAAGGCCAGUUACUCAUGAGCAAGCAUCUCCGAUGGGGCGUCCCAAGAGCAAACUUCUUGGGUGUAACUUAUUUCAUACCCUUACUGGAAUAUGAUGCUAGCAUGCAAAUAACAUCCGAUGGGCAGUCAGUGGAGAGAGGCGAUGUCGUGUGGCCUCCAGCUCGG
Molecule: non-coding RNA, 8086 nt
Organism: Podarcis lilfordi (Lilford's wall lizard)
Lineage: Eukaryota; Metazoa; Chordata; Lepidosauria; Squamata; Lacertidae
Source: the annotation of a GenBank genome assembly